Molecule: transfer RNA, 357 nt
Filed under: uncultured Microcystis sp.
Lineage: Bacteria; Bacillati; Cyanobacteriota; Cyanophyceae; Chroococcales; Microcystaceae
Description: partial 16S-23S ribosomal RNA intergenic spacer
Rfam family: tRNA (bases 133-206)
Source: RNAcentral
AAGGGAGACCUAAUUCGGGUAGAAGACGAAAAAAUAGUAGUCGAAACCAAGAAUCAAUCCCAAAAGGUCGGAACGAGGUAUGUGGCUUUCAAACUAGGUUCUGGGUUCACAAAAGACCUGAAUCAGGAACAAGGGCUAUUAGCUCAGGUGGUUAGGGCGCACCCCUGAUAAGGGUGAGGUCCCUGGUUCGAGUCCAGGAUGGCCCACCUGCACAGGUGGCAAAAACAAGAGAAACGAGGAAUCAGCACCUUAUCUUACUUACAUAGUAAGAGAGAAUGCUGGCUCUGAGUAAAGAGUCCAGAGGAACCUUGAAAACUGCAUAGAGCUAGGUGAAAAAGCCAAAAAAGAAGACCGCAA